RNAcentral lists this ribosomal RNA (407 nucleotides) under uncultured beta proteobacterium. Its description in RNAcentral is "bacterial SSU rRNA". It matches the Rfam family "Bacterial small subunit ribosomal RNA", at positions 9 to 419 of the family's 1533-position model. Lineage: Bacteria; Pseudomonadati; Pseudomonadota; Betaproteobacteria. The record is from RNAcentral.
GAGUUUGAUCUUGGCUCAGAUUGAACGCUGGCGGAAUGCUUUACACAUGCAAGUCGAGCGGCAGCGCGGGGCAACCUGGCGGCGAGCGGCGAACGGGUGAGUAAUGCAUCGGAACAUGUCCAUGUCGUGGGGGAUAGCCCGGCGAAAGCCGGAUUAAUACCGCAUACGCCCGAGAGGGGAAAGUGGGGGACCGCAAGGCCUCACGCGAUUGGGUUGGCCGAUGUCCGAUUAGCUAGUUGGCGGGGUAAAGGCCCACCAAGGCGAUGAUCGGUAGCUGGUCUGAGAGGAUGAUCAGCCACACUGGGACUGAGACACGGCCCAGACUCCUACGGGAGGCAGCAGUGGGGAAUUUUGGACAAUGGGGGAAACCCUGAUCCAGCCAUUCCGCGUGAGUGAAGAAGGCCUUC